This 209-nucleotide long non-coding RNA is filed under the name Elaeis guineensis (African oil palm). RNAcentral's name for it is "long non-coding RNA (EGUI_LNC009538)". Lineage: Eukaryota; Viridiplantae; Streptophyta; Magnoliopsida; Arecales; Arecaceae. The record is from RNAcentral.
AGAUCCCCGGUAUUGUCUCUUGUUGCUGAUAAAAUGGGCCAUGAACAAUCGGCUUAGUUGGUCAAAUGAAUGAAUAGAGCUCAGCUUCAAGCCCAAAUACCAACCCCAAGCCAUCUUUUUUAGUAUAGAAGGAAAGGCUCGACGCAAAAUCUCAUCGUUUGCUCCAUGAAGGAGUACAAGAUAUUUGAAGUUCUCUAAGUGAUCCACUG